RNAcentral lists this ribosomal RNA (377 nucleotides) under Salmonella enterica subsp. enterica serovar Enteritidis. Its description in RNAcentral is "partial 23S ribosomal RNA". It matches the Rfam family "Bacterial large subunit ribosomal RNA", at positions 895 to 1269 of the family's 2925-position model. Lineage: Bacteria; Pseudomonadati; Pseudomonadota; Gammaproteobacteria; Enterobacterales; Enterobacteriaceae. The record is from RNAcentral.
UCCGGGGGUAGAGCACUGUUUCGGCUAGGGGGCCAUCCCGGCUUACCAACCCGAUGCAAACUGCGAAUACCGGAGAAUGUUAUCACGGGAGACACACGGCGGGUGCUAACGUCCGUCGUGAAGAGGGAAACAACCCAGACCGCCAGCUAAGGUCCCAAAGUCAUGGUUAAGUGGGAAACGAUGUGGGAAGGCCCAGACAGCCAGGAUGUUGGCUUAGAAGCAGCCAUCAUUUAAAGAAAGCGUAAUAGCUCACUGGUCGAGUCGGCCUGCGCGGAAGAUGUAACGGGGCUAAACCAUGCACCGAAGCUGCGGCAGCGACACUGUGUGUUGUUGGGUAGGGGAGCGUUCUGUAAGCCUGUGAAGGUGUGUCGUGAGGC